CAGGCGUGAGCCACUGCGCCCUGCCAGGCAAUUCAGAGAUUUUUGCAAUAUUGCUGCGUGGCCAUACAGGUUUAAAGAACUUUGUCUUCUUAGAGCAUUCAUUCAUCAUGACAAAGGAUCAAGGACCCCCUUAAUUAUCUUUGGUAUGGCUCAACAUUGGUUUAUCCUGCAUGCCAACAUUGGAAUGAUCAAGUUAACUAGCAGUUUCCUAAGCAUGAAUUAUCUUGAUGUGCGAAUGUCUAUACUCACACUUGCUUUGUAAAUUAUGAGACAAUCAUGGCUCAAGAAAAGUUAGAUAGCUUGUCAAGUUCCACACAGCUAAGAG
Homo sapiens (human) is the source of this 325-nucleotide long non-coding RNA. RefSeq lists it as uncharacterized. Lineage: Eukaryota; Metazoa; Chordata; Mammalia; Primates; Hominidae. The transcript has 4 exons. The record is from RefSeq and is a predicted model, not a curated record.